Molecule: ribosomal RNA, 251 nt
Filed under: uncultured bacterium
Lineage: Bacteria
Description: partial 16S ribosomal RNA
Rfam family: Bacterial small subunit ribosomal RNA
Source: RNAcentral
UACGUAGGGUGCAAGCGUUGUCCGGAUUAUUGGGCGUAAGAGCGUGUAGGCGGCCAGAUAGGUCCGUUGUGAAAACUCGAGGCUCAACCUCGAGACGCCGAUGGAAACCAUUUGGCUAGAGUCCGGAAGAGGAGAGUGGAAUUCCUGGUGUAGCGGUGAAAUGCGCAGAUAUCAGGAAGAACACCCGUGGCUAAGGCGGCUCUCUAGUACGGUACUGACGCUGAGACGCGAAAGCGUGGGGAGCGAACAGG